This 255-nucleotide ribosomal RNA is filed under the name uncultured bacterium. Its description in RNAcentral is "partial 16S ribosomal RNA". It matches the Rfam family "Bacterial small subunit ribosomal RNA", at positions 202 to 458 of the family's 1533-position model. The record is from RNAcentral.
AACUUGUUGCUCUCGCUAUUAGAUGAGCCUAAGUCGGAUUAGCUAGAUGGUGGGGUAAAGGCCUACCAUGGCGACGAUCUGUAGCUGGUCUGAGAGGAUGAUCAGCCACACCGGGACUGAGACACGGCCCGGACUCCUACGGGAGGCAGCAGUGGGGAAUAUUGGACAAUGGGGGCAACCCUGAUCCAGACAGGCCGCGUGUGUGAAGAAGGCCUUUUGGUGUAAAGCAAAUUGAGCAGUGAAGAAGACUCCAUG